Molecule: ribosomal RNA, 1370 nt
Filed under: bacterium S17
Lineage: Bacteria
Description: bacterial SSU rRNA
Rfam family: Bacterial small subunit ribosomal RNA
Source: RNAcentral
AGCCGAGCGGUAGAGUUUCUUCGGAAACUUGAGAGCGGCGCACGGGUGCGGAACACGUGUGCAACCUGCCUUUAUCUGGGGGAUAGCCUUUCGAAAGGAAGAUUAAUACCCCAUAAUAUACUGAAUGGCAUCAUUCGGUAUUGAAAACUCCGGUGGAUAGAGAUGGGCACGCGCAAGAUUAGAUAGUUGGUGAGGUAACGGCUCACCAAGUCUGCGAUCUUUAGGGGGCCUGAGAGGGUGAUCCCCCACACUGGUACUGAGACACGGACCAGACUCCUACGGGAGGCAGCAGUGAGGAAUAUUGGACAAUGGGUGAGAGCCUGAUCCAGCCAUCCCGCGUGAAGGACGACGGCCCUAUGGGUUGUAAACUUCUUUUGUAUAGGGAUAAACCUACUCUCGUGAGAGUAGCUGAAGGUACUAUACGAAUAAGCACCGGCUAACUCCGUGCCAGCAGCCGCGGUAAUACGGAGGGUGCAAGCGUUAUCCGGAUUUAUUGGGUUUAAAGGGUCCGUAGGCGGAUCUGUAAGUCAGUGGUGAAAUCUCACAGCUUAACUGUGAAACUGCCAUUGAUACUGCAGGUCUUGAGUGUUAUUGAAGUAGCUGGAAUAAGUAGUGUAGCGGUGAAAUGCAUAGAUAUUACUUAGAACACCAAUUGCGAAGGCAGGUUACUAAGCAACAACUGACGCUGAUGGACGAAAGCGUGGGGAGCGAACAGGAUUAGAUACCCUGGUAGUCCACGCCGUAAACGAUGCUAACUCGUUUUUGGGUUUUCGGAUUCAGAGACUAAGCGAAAGUGAUAAGUUAGCCACCUGGGGAGUACGAACGCAAGUUUGAAACUCAAAGGAAUUGACGGGGGCCCGCACAAGCGGUGGAUUAUGUGGUUUAAUUCGAUGAUACGCGAGGAACCUUACCAAGGCUUAAAUGGGAAAUGACAGGUUUAGAAAUAGACUUUUCUUCGGACAUUUUUCAAGGUGCUGCAUGGUUGUCGUCAGCUCGUGCCGUGAGGUGUUAGGUUAAGUCCUGCAACGAGCGCAACCCCUGUCACUAGUUGCCAUCAUUAAGUUGGGGACUCUAGUGAGACUGCCUACGCAAGUAGAGAGGAAGGUGGGGAUGACGUCAAAUCAUCACGGCCCUUACGCCUUGGGCCACACACGUAAUACAAUGGCCGGUACAGAGGGCAGCUACACAGCGAUGUGAUGCAAAUCUCGAAAGCCGGUCUCAGUUCGGAUUGGAGUCUGCAACUCGACUCUAUGAAGCUGGAAUCGCUAGUAAUCGCGCAUCAGCCAUGGCGCGGUGAAUACGUUCCCGGGCCUUGUACACACCGCCCGUCAAGCCAUGGAAGUCUGGGGUACCUGAAGUCGGUGACCGUA